Molecule: ribosomal RNA, 482 nt
Filed under: uncultured bacterium
Lineage: Bacteria
Description: partial 16S ribosomal RNA
Rfam family: Bacterial small subunit ribosomal RNA
Source: RNAcentral
AUUGAACGCUGGCGGCAUGCUUUACACAUGCAAGUCGAACGGUAACAGGCCGCAAGGUGCUGACGAGUGGCGAACGGGUGAGUAAUGCAUCGGAACGUGCCCAGUCGUGGGGGAUAACUACUCGAAAGAGUAGCUAAUACCGCAUACGAUCUAUGGAUGAAAGCGGGGGACCGUAAGGCCUCGCGCGAUUGGAGCGGCCGAUGUCAGAUUAGGUAGUUGGUGGGGUAAAGGCUCACCAAGCCAACGAUCUGUAGCUGGUCUGAGAGGACGACCAGCCACACUGGGACUGAGACACGGCCCAGACUCCUACGGGAGGCAGCAGUGGGGAAUUUUGGACAAUGGGCGCAAGCCUGAUCCAGCAAUGCCGCGUGCAGGAAGAAGGCCUUCGGGUUGUAAACUGCUUUUGUACGGAACGAAACGGCUCCGGUUAAUACCCGGGGCUAAUGACGGUACCGUAAGAAUAAGCACCGGCUAACUACGUG